Long non-coding RNA from Patiria miniata (bat star), 1329 nucleotides. RefSeq lists it as uncharacterized. NCBI's taxonomy places the organism in Eukaryota, Metazoa, Echinodermata, Asteroidea, Valvatida, Asterinidae. The record is from RefSeq and is a predicted model, not a curated record. The transcript is spliced from 3 exons.
GAUGGAUGAGAUCGUGGUCAAAGCGCGACUGUUUCCCGCUCAUAUUCAUUGUUGUAUACUCAAUGUAUAUAUUUAUUGCACACACCAACGUAACUUGAAAUAUGAUUCCUGUUCUCAAAGAAAAUAUUACCAUGGCGCAUGCGCGUCAGCAGAAAUUCCACGUCCAGACCGCGUGAUAGCCUAUUUGAAUCGCUCUGCUCAGUCGAGUCAGCGAUCUAGCAGCAGCAGCUCACUAGUAUAACGGUCGCCGACUCGCCGUCCAGUUGAUGUGAAUUAGCCAUGAUCACCAAGCAAGUUAUUUUCACUACAGCAUUUCUUAGAAGGUAGGCAGUACAUACGUGAGUGCACUGGCUGCAGGAUGUGGCAAGUUUAAACUUUUAACUUCAGCAGUCUUCGAGGGAGGAAGUUUCUAAUUAUUUUGAAAACCACCCCGUACAUCUCUUCAAUGUUGUUGCUAUUCGUGUCUUUGGAGAAGUGCCAUAUUGACAACCUUGCUGAACAAGGAAUCCACUUACUUCUACAUCUGGAUAGUCUUCUAUGAAAGGUUCCAUUAAAUGAAUGUUACUCUAAAACAUAGAUUGGGCAAUUAGCCAAUGUGCAUGGAGGUAUUCAAAGAAAAUCAUGUUGAAAUGUCAAUAUUUUAAAAUGCAGGUUUUUUGCAAGUUCCCUGCAUACAAAUAUAUCUUCACCAACAAACGCUAUUCAAGUAUCCCUUUCAAGUGUUAUUCUUUUUCAUAGACUCUGUAGCUACAAAAAAACCAAAACAAUUCCUUUGAGUUUUCUUUUGAAGAUGUUCCAUGGGAGAGAACGAAAAUGAAGGAUUUAGAUAGAGGACAGAUUUAAAAAGCAUGUGAUUCAGUAGAUUAAAAGUUGUCGGAUCUAUUUUAUUUGUUCGAUGUGGAAGUCGCCUUCCUAUACUAUAUUUCUCAUCACGGACAGUGGAAAAUACUAAUGUUCAAAUACUAUUUGAAACCAUACUUUUGCUUGAAUGUACGUUACGUAUAGCACUGUGUAUUUUUCAUGAAUUGAUCCAAUACAUGAAUAGGUAUUCUCUAGUGUGGGUAACAUUGUGAUAUGGAGCCCCUUUAAAGGUGAUGUAUAAAACCGGUUAGUGGCUAGGUCGACGAUAAUAGCCCUUGCAUUCCGGCUCUGGCUAUAUUAUUGGUGACCAGACCCUUUAUCUUCUAAUUGCUCAGUAACAACGUUAUUGUCUUGUUAAAAGGUCGGUUCAUACUCUGUGAAGUUACGGCAAUUCACUUUGUGAAGUUACGGCAAUCAUUAACGCCAGCGCUAAAAAAUUGGGGGAAAAAAGAGUGUACCACAUUUUAC